RNAcentral lists this ribosomal RNA (1360 nucleotides) under human gut metagenome. RNAcentral describes it as "bacterial LSU rRNA". It matches the Rfam family "Bacterial large subunit ribosomal RNA", at positions 1112 to 2487 of the family's 2925-position model. The record is from RNAcentral.
GCAGCCAUUCAUUCAAAGAGUGCGUAACAGCUCACUGGUCGAGGGGGCUCGCGUGGAUAAUAAUCGGGUAUAAGGCAGAUGCCGAAGGCGCGGGAUAUCGAAAGAACGUAUCGGUAGGGGAGCAUUCCAGGUGCGCAGAAUGCAAGGGGCGACCCAUGCUGGAGCGCCUGGAAAGGCAAAUGUAGGUAUGAGUAACGACAAGGGGGGCGCGAACCCCCCCCGCCGCAAGGCCAAGGUUUCCCGGGCGAUGCCAGUCAUCCCGGGGUAAGUCGGGCCCUAAGCCUAAGCCGAAUGGCGAUGGCGAUGGCAGACACGGUUGAUAUUCCGUGACUGCCCGUGCGGGCGAUGCGGCAACGGAGAAGUGACACCGCCGCGCGCAGACGGAACUGCGCGUUGAAGGGUGUAGGCGUCGAGGGGCGCAGUCAAGCACACGCCCCGAGCCGAACCUGAGAGUACGGCGCUCCAUUCGUGGAGGGCCGAGAGUGCGGGUAAUCCGGCUCCCAAGAAACCCCGCUAAGCUUAACCGCACGGGCACCCGUACCGCAAACGGACACACGUGGCCGGGUAGAGCAUACCAAGGCGUUGAGAGACUCAUGGUCAAGGAACUAGGCAAACCAGCCCCGUAACUUCGGGAGAAGGGGUCCUCCCCCUGUGGGAGGCGCAGCGAACAGGCCCAGGCAACUGUUUACCAAAAACACAGGGCUGUGCAAACUCGAGAGAUGAAGUAUACAGCCUGACACCUGCCCGGUGCCGGAAGGUUAAGAGGAGGCGUCACCGCAAGGGAAGCGCCGAGUUGAAGCCCCGGUAAACGGCGGCCGUAACUAUAACGGUCCUAAGGUAGCGAAAUUCCUUGUCGGGUAAGUUCCGACCUGCACGAAUGGUGUAAUGAUCCGGGCGCUGUCUCGACCAUGAUCUCAGUGAAAUUGUAGUAUCGGUGAAGAUGCCGAUUACCCGCGAUGGGACGAAAAGACCCCGUGAACCUUUACUGCAGCUUAGCGCUGACCUUGGCCAUCGGAUGUGUAGGAUAGGCCGGAGGCAAUGAAGGCGCCACGCCAGUGGUGCCGGAGCCGCCGUUGAAAUACGGCCCUUCCGCUGUCCGGGGUCUAACGCGCGAUGCGCGGACACCGCUUGGCGGGCAGUUUGACUGGGGUGGUCGCCUCCAAAAGCGUAACGGAGGCUUCCAAAGGUGCCCUCAGGCCGAUUGGCAACCGGCCUAAAUGAGUGCAAUGGCAAAAGGGCGCUUGACUGGGAGGGGGACACCCCGAGCAGGCAGGAAACUGGGGCAUAGUGAUCCGGCGGUUCCGCAUGGAAGGGCCGUCGCUCAAAGGAUAAAAGGUACUCCGGGGAUAACAGGCUGAUC